Phrynosoma platyrhinos (Desert horned lizard) is the source of this 72-nucleotide non-coding RNA. The record is from the annotation of a GenBank genome assembly. Lineage: Eukaryota; Metazoa; Chordata; Lepidosauria; Squamata; Phrynosomatidae.
GUCAGCAUGGUACAGUGGUUGGAGCAUUGGACUAUGACUCUGGAGAUUAGGGUUCAAGUCCUUGUUCAGCCA